This 253-nucleotide ribosomal RNA is filed under the name uncultured bacterium. RNAcentral's name for it is "partial 16S ribosomal RNA". It matches the Rfam family "Bacterial small subunit ribosomal RNA", at positions 524 to 776 of the family's 1533-position model. The record is from RNAcentral.
UACGUAGGGUGCGAGCGUUGUCCGGAAUUAUUGGGCGUAAAGGGCUCGUAGGCGGUUUGUCACGUCGGGAGUGAAAACUCGGGGCUUAACCCCGAGCCUGCUUCCGAUACGGGCAGACUAGAGGUAUGCAGGGGAGAACGGAAUUCCUGGUGUAGCGGUGAAAUGCGCAGAUAUCAGGAGGAACACCGGUGGCGAAGGCGGAUCUCUGGGCCUUACCUGACGCUGAGGCGCGAAAGCUAGGGGAGCAAACAGG